Molecule: unclassified non-coding RNA, 377 nt
Filed under: plant metagenome
Description: partial contains 5.8S ribosomal RNA, internal transcribed spacer 2, and large subunit ribosomal RNA
Rfam family: 5.8S ribosomal RNA (bases 1-104)
Source: RNAcentral
AAAUGCGAUAAGUAAUGUGAAUUGCAGAAUUCAGUGAAUCAUCUAAUCUUUGAACGCACCUUGCGCUCCUUGGUAUUCCUUGGAGCAUGCCUGUUUGAGUAUCAUGAAAUCUUCAAAGUAAAUCUUUUGUUAACUCAAUUGGUUUCUACUUUGGUAUUGGAGGUCUUUGCAGCUUCACACCUGCUCCUCUUUGUUCAUUAGCUGGAUCUCAGUGUUAUGCUUGGUUCCACUCGGCGUGAUAAGUUAUCUAUCGCUGAGGACACUGUAAAAGGUGGCCAAGGUAAAUGCAGAUGAACCGCUUCUAAUAGUCCAUUGACUUGGACAAUACUUUUAUGAUCUGAUCUCAAAUCAGGUAGGACUACCCGCUGAACUUAAGC